This 460-nucleotide ribosomal RNA is filed under the name uncultured bacterium. RNAcentral describes it as "partial 16S ribosomal RNA". It matches the Rfam family "Bacterial small subunit ribosomal RNA", at positions 338 to 795 of the family's 1533-position model. The record is from RNAcentral.
CCUACGGGAGGCAGCAGUGAGGAAUAUUGGUCAAUGGACGAGAGUCUGAACCAGCCAAGUAGCGUGAAGGAUGACUGCCCUAUGGGUUGUAAACUUCUUUUAUAAAGGAAUAAAACGAGGCACGUGUGCCUUUUUGCAUGUACUUUAUGAAUAAGGAUCGGCUAACUCCGUGCCAGCCGCCGCGGUAAUACGGAGGAUCACAGCGUUAUCCGGAUUUAUUGGGUUUAAAGGGAGCGUAGAUGGGUUGUUAAGUCAGUUGUGAAAGUUUGCGGCUCAACCGUAAAAUUGCAAUUGAUACUGGCAGUCUUGAGUACAGUUGAGGUAGGCGGAAUGCGUGGUGUAGCGGUGAAAUGCUUAGAUAUCACGAAGAACCCCGAUUGCGAAGGCAGCAUACUAAACUGUGACUGACAUUGAUGCUCGAAAGUGUGGGUAUCAAACAGGAUUAGAUACCCCAGUAGUC